Molecule: ribosomal RNA, 463 nt
Filed under: uncultured bacterium
Lineage: Bacteria
Description: partial 16S ribosomal RNA
Rfam family: Bacterial small subunit ribosomal RNA
Source: RNAcentral
GAUGAACGCUGACAGAAUGCUUAACACAUGCAAGUCGAUGGGGAAGUGGUGCUUGCACCAUGGUAACCAUGGCGGACGGGUGAGUAACGCGUAAGGAACUUGCCUGCGGGACUGGGAUAACAGCAGGAAACUGCUGAUAAUACCGGAUAAGGUCAUUAAGCUGCAUAGCUGAGUGAUGAAAGGAGACGCCUGCGGAGAGCCUUGCGUCCUAUUAGCUAGUUGGAGGGGUAACGGCCCACCAAGGCGAAGAUAGGUAGCCGGCCUGAGAGGGUGGACGGCCACAAGGGGACUGAGAUCCGGCCCUUACUCCUACGGGAGGCAGCAGUGGGGAAUAUUGGACAAUGGGGGCAACCCUGAUCCAGCAAUUCUGUGUGCACGAAGACGGUUUUCGGAUUGUAAAGUGCUUUCAGCAGGGAAGAAGGAAGUGACGGUACCUGCAGAAGAAGCGACGGCUAACUACGUG